GUUCUAUCUGUGUUUCUUCCUCUCUGUAGACUUCGGCAGUUUUGCUCGCUGCGUAGCCACGAAAGGGUUCGAUUUAGCUUCAAAUAUCGAUCUGCACCUCCGCUUUGAUGGCAUUUUUUCUUUCCUAUAGUGCCCCCGCCACUCUUUGAAAAUUCCACCUAAAAGGAAAAAACGAUCCACCCCAAAUAUUGGGUUUUAUUCUCACGUGUACAAUUACUACCCAGACGGCUUAGGGGCGGCUCUCCGCCGAGAGCCGUUCGACUUCAACGCCGAGCCACCUUGGGAUCCUAGCUGAUAGUGGGGGAGCUCCAUCUCCUAACUCGUCCAUUUUGCUGCAUACUAUCUAAGGGCUCAGAGAGGGACCACUUCACCCAGGGGCUCAGAGAGAGACCACUUCACCCAGGGGCUCAGAGAGAGACCACUUCACCCAGGGGCUCAGAGAGAGACCACUUCACCCAGGGGCUCAGAGAGCGACCACUUCACCCAGGGGCUCAGAGAGCGACCACUUCACCCAGGGGCUCAGAGAGCGACCACUUCACCCAGGGGCUCAGAGAGCGACCACUUCACCCAGGGGCUCAGAGAGCGACCACUUCACCCAGGGGCUCAGAGAGCGACCACUUCACCCAGGGGCUCAGAGAGCGACCACUUCACCCAGGGGCUCAGAGAGAGACCACUUCACCCAGGGGCUCAGAGAGAGACCACUUCACCCAGGGGCUCAGAGAGAGACCACUUCACCCAGGGGCUCAGAGAGAGACCACUUCACCCAGGGGCUCAGAGAGAGACCACUUCACCCAGGGGCUCAGAGAGAGACCACUUCACCCAGGGGCUCAGAGAGAGACCACUUCACCCAGGGGCUCAGAGAGAGACCACUUCACC
This is a long non-coding RNA of Oncorhynchus keta (chum salmon), 876 nucleotides long. RefSeq lists it as uncharacterized. The transcript is spliced from 3 exons. NCBI's taxonomy places the organism in Eukaryota, Metazoa, Chordata, Actinopteri, Salmoniformes, Salmonidae. The record is from RefSeq and is a predicted model, not a curated record.